CCUAGGAUUUACGAUUUGGUUGAAGAAGAAGAAGGAUCCGAGUCUAGCGACGACAAGGCGAAGAAGAAGAGGGAUAAAAAGAAGAAGAAGCGGAAGAGAGAUUCUGAUGAAUACUAUACAAAGCCCGCCAAGGAUUAUUACUUGGAUACUCGUCCUGAUCCGGAUAAUCUUGCUUAUAACUCCAUCUACAGGACUAAAAAUCAUUAAAGCCAUAGAUCAGCUCCAGAAAAAUUGAAGAACAUAGUAUACAAGGAGAUCCUCAACCAUCUCCGUUCUCAUGAAACGAUCAACAUAAACAAAUGAAAGCUAAACUUCAUCUUGAUGAUUGUUAUGUCACUACUUCAAGGGUCUCACUCAAAGAGAUCCCAUCACAUCCACACGACCUCUUCUUUGGAUUUCGGAUGUUCACCAUCUUAUCUAUGAUUUCUACUUUCCAUCUUUUGUAUUCGAUCUUUUUUUUUUUUGAAUAAGAGUUUACAUGAGAUUGUUCGCAUGCUUCUGCUAAUAUACAUGAUUUAUAUCUAUUUCCAGAAUUUUCAAUCCCAA
Molecule: long non-coding RNA, 546 nt
Organism: Brassica napus (rape)
Lineage: Eukaryota; Viridiplantae; Streptophyta; Magnoliopsida; Brassicales; Brassicaceae
Exons: 4
Source: RefSeq, a predicted model, not a curated record